AAUGGCCUAACGGCUGAACCAGCAACUUGGAAGAACGUAUAGCAAUAGCUAGUAUCUUCAAUUGAUAUAUCGACCAAGUCGAAUAAAGUUCUACGCAGUACUAUGAUAAUGACAUUAUCUGCUUAAAGUCUUGGCCAAAUUACGUGCCAGCUGUCGCGGUAAGACGUAGAAGGCUAGUGUUAUUCAUUAUUAAUGGGUUUAAAGUGUACAUAGGCGGUAAUUUAAGCUUUGGAGAACUGUUUUACUAGAGUUUUUUUUGAGGGGGCAAUAAGGUACUAAUGGUGUAGAGAUAAAAUUCUGUAAUACCAUUUUUCGCGAGAAAAUAAUGGCACAAGCAGAGGCGAAGGCGCUUCAUAUAACAAACAGGAUUAGGUACCCUGGUAGUCGAAGCAGAUAAUUCUGAAUGCCACAGAGUAUUUUAUUCUGUAGAUGAAAAUUAAAGCAUUCCACCUCAAGAGUAAUUUGGCAACAUUGGAACUGAAAUCAUUAGACCGUUUCUGAAAACAGUAGUGAAGUAUGUUGUUUAAUUUGAUAAUCCACAAAGAACCUUACCAUGAAUAUUUACAAGUGUUGCACGGCUGUCUUCAGUUAAUGUCGUGAGAUAAUGGUUGGUUCCAUUUAAUUAACGUAAACCCUCACUUUAUUUUUAUAUAAAGUUGUUCUCCAUUAUAUUGGAUAAGAUAACAGGGAUUAAGACAAGUCCACAUGACCUUUAUGUUGUGAGCCUUUACAAAAGGGUGUGAAAUCGUAAGAUUUAGCUAAUCCCCCAAAACUGGCUAUACAUUCAAU
RNAcentral lists this ribosomal RNA (789 nucleotides) under Micarea prasinella. Its description in RNAcentral is "SSU rRNA". It matches the Rfam family "Bacterial small subunit ribosomal RNA", at positions 370 to 1298 of the family's 1533-position model. Lineage: Eukaryota; Fungi; Ascomycota; Lecanoromycetes; Lecanorales; Micareaceae. The record is from RNAcentral.